Molecule: ribosomal RNA, 466 nt
Filed under: uncultured bacterium
Lineage: Bacteria
Description: partial 16S ribosomal RNA
Rfam family: Bacterial small subunit ribosomal RNA
Source: RNAcentral
GACGAACGCUGGCGGCGCGCCUAACACAUGCAAGUCGAACGAGCGAGCGAGAGCUUGCUUUCUCGAGCGAGUGGCGAACGGGUGAGUAACGCGUGAGGAACCUGCCUCAAAGAGGGGGACAACAGUUGGAAACGACUGCUAAUACCACAUAAGCCCACGGUGCCGCAUGGCACCGAGGGAAAAGGAGCAAUCCGCUUUGAGAUGGCCUCGCGUCCGAUUAGCUAGUUGGUGAGGUAAUGGCCCACCAAGGCGACGAUCGGUAGCCGGACUGAGAGGUUGAACCGCCACAUUGGGACUGAGCCACGGCCCAGACUCCUACGGGAGGCAGCAGUGGGGAAUAUUGCACAAUGGGGGAAACCCUGAUGCAGCGACGCCGCGUGGAGGAAGAAGGUCUUCGGAUUGUAAACUCCUGUUGUUGGGGAAGAUAAUGACGGUACCCAACAAGGAAGUGACGGCUAACUACGUG